RNAcentral lists this ribosomal RNA (626 nucleotides) under Actinomycetales bacterium Ri2Ps_5135. RNAcentral's name for it is "bacterial SSU rRNA". It matches the Rfam family "Bacterial small subunit ribosomal RNA", at positions 387 to 1022 of the family's 1533-position model. Lineage: Bacteria; Bacillati; Actinomycetota; Actinomycetes; Actinomycetales. The record is from RNAcentral.
UGCAGCGACGCCGCGUGAGGGAUGACGGCCUUCGGGUUGUAAACCUCUUUCAGCAGGGACGAAGCGAAAGUGACGGUACCUGCAGAAGAAGCACCGGCCAACUACGUGCCAGCAGCCGCGGUAAUACGUAGGGUGCAAGCGUUGUCCGGAAUUAUUGGGCGUAAAGAGCUCGUAGGCGGCUAGUCGCGUCGGCUGUGAAAACCUGGGGCUCAACCCCGGGCCUGCAGCCGAUACGGGCUAGCUAGAAUUCGGUAGGGGAGACUGGAAUUCCUGGUGUAGCGGUGAAAUGCGCAGAUAUCAGGAGGAACACCGGUGGCGAAGGCGGGUCUCUGGGCCGAUAUUGACGCUGAGGAGCGAAAGCGUGGGGAGCGAACAGGAUUAGAUACCCUGGUAGUCCACGCCGUAAACGGUGGGAACUAGGUGUGGGCCACAUUCCACGUGGUCUGUGCCGCAGCUAACGCAUUAAGUUCCCCGCCUGGGGAGUACGGCCGCAAGGCUAAAACUCAAAGGAAUUGACGGGGGCCCGCACAAGCGGCGGAGCAUGUGGCUUAAUUCGAUGCAACGCGAAGAACCUUACCUGGGCUUGACAUGUAGGGAAAACUCGUAGAGAUACGGGGUCCUUUUGG